Molecule: ribosomal RNA, 453 nt
Filed under: uncultured bacterium
Lineage: Bacteria
Description: bacterial SSU rRNA
Rfam family: Bacterial small subunit ribosomal RNA
Source: RNAcentral
GAUGAACGUUGGCGGCGUGCCUAACACAUGCAAGUCGAACGGAAAUAGCAAUAUUUGAGUGGCGCACGGGUGAGUAACACGUAGCUAAUCUACCUCAAAGCGCGGGAUAACGUGUCGAAAGACAGGCUAAUACCGCAUAAGCUCCCGAUCUGUAGAGGAUUGGGAGAAAAGGCGUAAGUCACUUUGAGAUGAGGCUGCGGCCCAUCAGCUAGUUGGUGCGGUAAUGGCGUACCAAGGCGACGACGGGUAGGGGACCUGAGAGGGUGACCCCCCAACUGGGACUGAGACACGGCCCAGACUCCUACGGGAGGCAGCAGUGAGGAAUAUUGCACAAUGGGCGAAAGCCUGAUGCAGCGACGCCGCGUGGGUGAAGAAGGUUUUCGGAUCGUAAAACCCUUUUCUGUGUGACGAGCAAGGACGGUAGCACAGGAAUAAGUCUCGGCUAACUACGUG